AUGAUUCCUUCGAAGCAACUUGCUUUUGAUUCACAAGGCAAAUUACUGUUGAAUGCUUCCAACUUUGAGAUUAUUGCUGAAAUUAUUGUGGUUUGUGGGGUUGGAAAGCAUAGAAGUGAAAAAGGGGAAUCAUCAAUUAAAGCAUUGGGUCAGAAGAUGUUGAUGGAGAUGAAAAGUCCACUCAGGAUUCAUAAAAGGAAGAUGGAUGCUUUGUUGGUAAAGGGAUUGGAAUCACCCGCUGAUGGUAGACGUUCAUCUGAGUCUAGCUACCGUAUUGGAGAUAAUGGAACUUCAGGGGGGACAAAUUAG
Molecule: non-coding RNA, 309 nt
Organism: Vicia faba (fava bean)
Lineage: Eukaryota; Viridiplantae; Streptophyta; Magnoliopsida; Fabales; Fabaceae
Source: the annotation of a GenBank genome assembly